AAUUUAAUGGGUAGUGACGCGGGGCGUCACACUCUCCCUCACCUGAUUUGGCGAUGACCGCGGCGCCACAUAGCUGCAAAUAUUUGUGGACCUUCUCCUUGAAUGGCCACAAGUCUUCGUAUUUCUCCCACGAUGCCUCCUCGGGUGAUUGCCCCUUCCAAUGGACUAAGAAUUGGGCACUUGAAUUGCCCCAACCUUUCCCUCGGACCAAUUGAUGAUCAAUUAUGUCCUCGAUUUGNNNNN
RNAcentral lists this long non-coding RNA (243 nucleotides) under Capsicum annuum. RNAcentral's name for it is "long non-coding RNA (CANN_LNC003593)". Lineage: Eukaryota; Viridiplantae; Streptophyta; Magnoliopsida; Solanales; Solanaceae. The record is from RNAcentral.